GACGAACGCUGGCGGCGUGCUUAACACAUGCAAGUCGAACGGAAAGGCCCUGCUUGCAGGGUACUCGAGUGGCGAACGGGUGAGUAACACGUGGGUGAUCUGCCCUGCACUUCGGGAUAAGCCUGGGAAACUGGGUCUAAUACCGGAUAGGAGCCAUUUUUAGUGUGAUGGUUGGAAAGUUUUUUUCGGUGUAGGAUGAGCUCGCGGCCUAUCAGCUUGUUGGUGGGGUAAUGGCCUACCAAGGCGGCGACGGGUAGCCGGCCUGAGAGGGUGGACGGCCACAAUGGGACUGAGAUACGGCCCAGACUCCUACGGGAGGCAGCAGUGGGGAAUAUUGCACAAUGGGCGCAAGCCUGAUGCAGCGACGCCGCGUGGGGGAUGACGGCCUUCGGGUUGUAAACUCCUUUCGCUAGGGACGAAGCUUUUUGUGACGGUACCUAGAUAAGAAGCACCGGCUAACUACGUG
RNAcentral lists this ribosomal RNA (466 nucleotides) under uncultured bacterium. RNAcentral describes it as "partial 16S ribosomal RNA". It matches the Rfam family "Bacterial small subunit ribosomal RNA", at positions 28 to 507 of the family's 1533-position model. The record is from RNAcentral.